This 23-nucleotide non-coding RNA is filed under the name Cricetulus griseus (Chinese hamster). Lineage: Eukaryota; Metazoa; Chordata; Mammalia; Rodentia; Cricetidae. The record is from RNAcentral.
AUCCUGGCUCUGUGGUCCCUGGG